Molecule: ribosomal RNA, 253 nt
Filed under: uncultured bacterium
Lineage: Bacteria
Description: partial 16S ribosomal RNA
Rfam family: Bacterial small subunit ribosomal RNA
Source: RNAcentral
CACGUAGGGCGCAAGCGUUGUCCGGAAUUAUUGGGCGUAAAGAGCUCGUAGGCGGACUGUUGCGUCCGCUGUGAAAAGCUGGGGCUUAACCCUGGCCUUGCAGUGGAUACGGGCAGACUAGAGGUAGGUAGGGGAGAAUGGAAUUCCCGGUGUAGCGGUGAAAUGCGCAGAUAUCGGGAGGAACACCGGUGGCGAAGGCGGGUCUCUGGGCCGAAAUUGACGCUGAGGAGCGAAAGCGUGGGGAGCAAACAGG